Molecule: long non-coding RNA, 133 nt
Organism: Suricata suricatta (meerkat)
Lineage: Eukaryota; Metazoa; Chordata; Mammalia; Carnivora; Herpestidae
Exons: 3
Source: RefSeq, a predicted model, not a curated record
CCUAACAUCUAGCACCGCAACUGGCACACAGAAGCCCUUCCUGGACUUUCCGGUGACACUGCUCUCCCCCGCACACACUCCAGAGUUCAGUCAGGCAGCGACCAAACCAGACACGGCCUCUCAGCGCAGUCAC